This 67-nucleotide microRNA precursor is filed under the name Bombyx mori (domestic silkworm). RNAcentral describes it as "mir-2774 microRNA precursor family". It matches the Rfam family "mir-2774 microRNA precursor family". The record is from Rfam by way of RNAcentral. Lineage: Eukaryota; Metazoa; Arthropoda; Insecta; Lepidoptera; Bombycidae.
ACAACAUUCAGACCGUCGACCUACCAAGCAAUUUCACCAGCUCGGUGGAAGAUCUUCCCUUUCUCGU